RNAcentral lists this long non-coding RNA (1538 nucleotides) under Mytilus galloprovincialis (Mediterranean mussel). Lineage: Eukaryota; Metazoa; Mollusca; Bivalvia; Mytilida; Mytilidae. The record is from RNAcentral.
UUUGAGUUCUACAAAUCCUUUUUGUAGUUUUGUAGCUUUUUAAAUGCAAACUAAUGAAAUCAAAUAUUUCUAUAUCAUAUGAAAUAUUUUUUUUCUUUCUAUUAAAUGUUUACACAAACAUUAUAAAAUUUUCUUUUUUCUCUUUCCUAAAUCAAUAUAACAUAAAAAGAAUUGCAACUAUUAUGAAAUGAAAAAUGUUUUGAUCCAGCAAAAGAAAGACAUUCCAUAUCAAAAUUGAACAAAUUCAAAAAUUGAAAAGUACUUAUGGUUUUUAACAGGGUAAAAUAAAAUAUUAUUACAGAAAUUGAACACACCUGGCUCUUAAUGUGAAGAAAGGAAUAAUAAAAUCAAUUUUAACAUGAUUUUUUUCAUGAAAUCAUCAGAUAUACUUAGUCUGGUAUCAAUAUUUGCCAAAAAAUAGCUCUAAACAAUGAACACAUGUCAAUAAAGAAAUUGCCUACCCUCUAUUUGUACAUGAGGUAUAAUCUGGAAUCUUUGGCAAAAUAAAGAGUUUGAGGUAUUUUUAUAUAAGUCUGACUUGGUCACUUAUAAUUUAUAUAAUUAACAAAACAAAUACUAAUAGAAUACAAAUUACAGACCAUAGAUACCAGGAUUAUUUUUAAUAGAAAAAUAGCACAUGCUAAAAGUAAUUGACUUGAUAAUAUUAUUCUUCAGUGAAAAUAACUUUCAUGUUUAUACAAUUCUAGUGUAAUUCUGGACAUAUUUGAUGUUUUUUUCUUCUUUAGAACUGCUGACUGAAUCAAAUACAUAACGUUUGUAACUUGCAAUUUCUGGUUGUUCUGCAUAAUAUUGAUAACAGUACAGAUUUUUUUUAUACCAUAUGAGAAUUUAGACAAUGAAUGUCUUUUCAGUGAUGUCAACAUAUUUGUUAAUUCAAAACUAAUUCAAAAGAUGAAGAGAUAAAAACAAGAAUAGCAAAAGCUGGGCAAGAAAUCAGAGAUUUGCAUAAGAGAUAUAUUUCUUAAUUUAAAAUAAAUUUCCAAAAGUAGUUAAUGAUCUGAACUGCUCAGCUGUGCAUGUGUCAUUAAUGAGAAAAAUCCAUCUUUUCUGUGGAUUGUAACUUGACUUGCUUGAUGAGAAAACUUGUUUGUAAGAAAUUUUGUCUGGUAAAAAAAAAUUGCAUAUUUGAAGUUUUUAGUAUCUUCAUUGGUGAACUUUUCUGUAUUUUCAAAAUUUACUGUUUUUAUUAGCAUUUUUUUGACAAAAGAACAAAAAUUGAUAAAUCUGACAGUCCUAGAUUUAUCAAGUUUUUAAAUUGUUAGAGUGGGGUGCUCAUUUUCGCCACUUCUUUCCAUGUUUUCUACAGUUUAUGUUCAGGUCUAAUGUUUUUGAAGUAUUCUGAUAUUUCUAUAUGAAGAUAACUUCAAAUGCAAAUAUUCUUAAGCUUGAAAACCGGUUUGUUUUAAGAAAUCAUCUGAAAAGUUAGAUUAAAGGGUGUUUGAAAUUUCCAGAUGUUUUGUCAAUGGGGGACACAUAUUCGCCUUUUUUACACAUCUAUUUAAAACCAAAUAACCGCA